UACGGAGGGUGCAAGCGUUAUCCGGAUUCACUGGGUUUAAAGGGUGCGUAGGUGGGCAGGUAAGUCAGUGGUGAAAUCUCCGGGCUUAACCCGGAACGUGCCGUUGAUACUAUCUGUCUUGAAUAUCGUGGAGGUGAGCGGAAUAUGUCAUGUAGCGGUGAAAUGCUUAGAUAUGACAUAGAACAUCAAUUGCGAAGGCAGCUCGCUACACGGUUAUUGACACUGAGGCACGAAAGCGUGGGGAUCAAACAGG
RNAcentral lists this ribosomal RNA (253 nucleotides) under uncultured bacterium. RNAcentral describes it as "partial 16S ribosomal RNA". It matches the Rfam family "Bacterial small subunit ribosomal RNA", at positions 524 to 776 of the family's 1533-position model. The record is from RNAcentral.